This 990-nucleotide unclassified non-coding RNA is filed under the name Zea mays. Its description in RNAcentral is "misc RNA Zm00001eb407600". Lineage: Eukaryota; Viridiplantae; Streptophyta; Magnoliopsida; Poales; Poaceae. The record is from RNAcentral.
GCUGGACCGGCCAAUGGACGUGCCGCGGCACUGUCAAGCAAGAAGCUCUAGUGUUGUUGUUAUUGUUGUCAUGUCUUCCUCCUCGUCAUGGACGUGGCGUUGCCGUCGAAGAGCUCGUCGAUGAUGGUCUCCACGUCCUCAGCGCUGAGCUUGACGUACUUCUCCGUCUGUCUCCCGGCGCUGAAGUGCUGCGCGAAGCGGCCGAGGAAGGAGCGGUAGGCCGGCACGACGACGGCGGCGAUGGAGACGCGCAGCUCCGACUGCAGCUGCUCGUCGCUGACGACCCAUGCGCCCUGCGUCCGGUGGAUCUCGUCCAUGGCGGCGUUGAACUGCUUGAACCGCUCCUUGAGCACCGGCUUCUGCACGUGGCCCUUCACCGUCAGCACGCCGUCGUCGCGGAGCAGCCCCAGCACGCGGCUCCACGCGUCCCGCUGGUAGUUCUUGUGGUACUGCCGCAGGUUGGUCGACUGCUUCCGCGCCCACGCCUCGCCCAGCAUCGCGUUGGUCUCCGCCGACCCGCGGAUCUUCUGCAGCAUGUACCGCCCGUUGUUCAUCAGGAAGAUGUUGCUCAGCGACGGGUCCUUGUACAGCCGCGACUUGGCCUCCAGGUUGCCGUGCAGCAGCUCCAUCACCUCCAUCAGCUGCGCCGCGAACGGGUUGCCGCCGUCGUCGCCGCCGCCGCCGCCGUCGUGGUGCUCACGGAACACCUGCUCCAGCGUGCUGUUGUACUCGCACGCGUACUUGAGGUAGUUCAUCACGUAGCGGGUCAGCGGGUGCACCGCGCCGCCGGGCACCGGCUGCUUGCCGGCGUCGGCGCGGAUCGAACUCUCCAGCUCGCGGAAGAUGGCGGCGGCGGACUCGCCGAGCCGGGACCGCACGGCGGCGAUCUCGGACUUGAGCUCCGCCAGGCCGGAGUGGCUGUGCUCGGCGGCCGGCUCGUCGGCGGAGAGGAAGGCCUCGAUGACCGGUGACGCGUCGCGGACCGCCUCG